AACAUUCUUCUCGGUGGAUACAUGAGAAAUGGAUCAGUUGAAAAAGCUGAAUCGUUACAUUAUCACACGUUGGAGAAAGGUGGAUGUCCAAAUUCUAAAACCUGGGAGAUAUUGGUGGAAGGAUGGAUAAGGAGUCAACAAAUGGAUAAAGCUACCGAUGCCUUGAAAAGUGGUCUUGCUGCUCUAAAACAUUAUGAAUGGAGGCCAUCACCAAGUAUUGAUGUCGCAAUUUCAGAAUAUUUCGAAGAAACUAGACAGUUUGAGAAGGCUAUGGAGUUUCUUACAACUCUUAGACAUUUUGGUCCUGCUAAUUUACAAGUGUACAAGUCAUUGCUUAGAAUGCAAAUCUCAAGAGAAGAAAGUCCACUGUACAUCCUUGAAAUGAUGCAGAAUGAUGGAAUUGACGUGGAUGAUGAGACCUCUGCCAUCUGUUCAGACGUUUUGCAUUGUUGAGAACUCAAAAUCCAUAGGGCAGAAGAUGGG
Molecule: unclassified non-coding RNA, 483 nt
Filed under: Hevea brasiliensis (rubber tree)
Lineage: Eukaryota; Viridiplantae; Streptophyta; Magnoliopsida; Malpighiales; Euphorbiaceae
Source: RNAcentral